Molecule: ribosomal RNA, 865 nt
Filed under: Ramularia rubella
Lineage: Eukaryota; Fungi; Ascomycota; Dothideomycetes; Mycosphaerellales; Mycosphaerellaceae
Description: eukaryotic LSU rRNA
Rfam family: Eukaryotic large subunit ribosomal RNA
Source: RNAcentral
UAAGCGGAGGAAAAGAAACCAACAGGGAUUGCCCUAGUAACGGCGAGUGAAGCGGCAACAGCUCAAAUUUGAAAUCUGGCGCAAGCCCGAGUUGUAAUUUGUAGAGGAUGCUUCUAGGUAGCGACCGGUCUAAGUUCCUUGGAACAGGACGUCAUAGAGGGUGAGAAUCCCGUAUGUGACCGGCCCGCGCCUUCCACGUAGCUCCUUCGACGAGUCGAGUUGUUUGGGAAUGCAGCUCUAAAUGGGAGGUAAAUUUCUUCUAAAGCUAAAUACCGGCCAGAGACCGAUAGCGCACAAGUAGAGUGAUCGAAAGAUGAAAAGCACUUUGGAAAGAGAGUUAAAAAGCACGUGAAAUUGUUGAAAGGGAAGCGCUCACAACCAGACUUCUGGGCGGUGUUCCGCCGGUCUUCUGACCGGUCUACUCGCCGUCCCGAGGCCAACAUCAUCUGGGACCGCCGGAUAAGACCUCAGGAAUGUGGCUCCCCUCGGGGAGUGUUAUAGCCUGUGGUGAUGCGGCGCGUCUCGGGUGAGGUCCGCGCUUCGGCAAGGAUGUUGGCGUAAUGGUUGUCAGCGGCCCGUCUUGAAACACGGACCAAGGAGUCUAACAUCUAUGCGAGUGUUCGGGUGUCAAACCCCUACGCGUAAUGAAAGUGAACGGAGGUGGGAAGGGUAACCUGCACCAUCGACCGAUCCUGAUGUCCUCGGAUGGAUUUGAGUAAGAGCAUAGCUGUUGGGACCCGAAAGAUGGUGAACUAUGCCUGAAUAGGGUGAAGCCAGAGGAAACUCUGGUGGAGGCUCGCAGCGGUUCUGACGUGCAAAUCGAUCGUCAAAUUUGGGUAUAGGGGCGAAAGACUAAUCGAACCAU